UGCAGAGCUGAACCUCCCAGGCCCCAGGGUUUUAGUGCUUUCACUGCUCUUUGAAACUGAGAGAGAUCUGCUGUUAAUGCUGCUGAUGACAAACAGCUACCUCAUGCCUCUUCUUGUCCUUCUGCACCCACAGGCAGCCCCACAUGGGGCACAAAGGUUUGCAUCCCUGAACAGCAUCUCUGUGAUGCUGUCGUGGCGCAGCAGGAGACUCUGAAUGCUCUGGAACGCUUGAAAAAGACAACGCCCACACCUGUACCCAGAUACUGCUCUAAGAGAUGGAACAAAAUUUAAAUUAUCAGUAAUUUCAGCUAAACACCAUGGAUGUCCUGUGAGAAGAAUGGAUGACAUGAAAAAAUCCACAGCUUCAAAUUGGACAAAAACAUUACAUUUGGAAACAGCUUUUAGGAACUACAGAUUAAAAUAUGACACUGAAGAAUGUUUACUACUAGAAUUCUUCAAGACAUACAUCUCCCACCUUUCUCAAGCUUACCAAGAUCCUAACUGAGAAAACGUGUUACUUUGUGGUUCUUCAUUUCCUCAACAACCUUCAAUUGCUGAUAGUACCUUACACAAAUAAACACUAGAAACAGACCGCCCGAAAGAGAGGUAAAUUUCAAGCCAGGAAACUGAAAGCUCUGCUCUACAUCGAAACAUUCGGGCAAAAGCUCCUCUGUCCCUGCUGAAGCCAGGGGUCAAUGUCUGCCUUGAAACCAGAAGUAAAUUUUCACAAUUCACACUGAAGACUCUGAAGAAGUAAAAGGUGGGGAAAGUCUUUGCUGGAGAAUAACAGGACCCUGGCUGUAUCACUACUAGGAGUGCGUCUGAAAACACAUACCAUGUGGGCUGAGUGGGCAUAUGCAAAGGUGAAAAUAUACGCUCUUUUAAAAGCAAUGAGAUUUUUUCAGCAGUGGAGAGCCAGGGAACAUUGAGAUAGAAAUUUAAGAUCACCAUCAUUCGGACUGUCACGAGCAUUUUUUUAAACUUUUCUUCAGCUUGUUCCAAAACAUGCUUUAGAAACACAUGAAGCGCUCCUGCGAAAUCCAGACCGCUUCUGUGCCACUGUAGGACCAUUUAGCCCCAUCGGGCUUCCCCUGCCUCUUUCCCCGGCGUCCCCCGGCACUCGCCCCUCGCCAUUCCCGGCCGGGCCGCCCCGGGCGAGGCGGCGGC
Molecule: long non-coding RNA, 1167 nt
Organism: Passer montanus (Eurasian tree sparrow)
Lineage: Eukaryota; Metazoa; Chordata; Aves; Passeriformes; Passeridae
Exons: 3
Source: RefSeq, a predicted model, not a curated record